This 207-nucleotide ribosomal RNA is filed under the name uncultured bacterium. RNAcentral describes it as "partial 16S ribosomal RNA". It matches the Rfam family "Bacterial small subunit ribosomal RNA", at positions 568 to 774 of the family's 1533-position model. The record is from RNAcentral.
CGCGUAGGUGGUUUGUCAAGCGAGAUGUGAAAGCCCCGGGCUUAACCUGGGAACGGCAUUUCGAACUGGCAGGCUAGAGUGUGGUAGAGGGUAGUGGAAUUUCCUGUGUAGCGGUGAAAUGCGUAGAUAUAGGAAGGAACACCAGUGGCGAAGGCGGCUACCUGGACCAACACUGACACUGAGGUGCGAAAGCGUGGGGAGCAAACA